CACGUAGGGGGCGAGCGUUGUCCGGAUUUAUUGGGCGUAAAGAGCUCGUAGGCGGCUCGGUAAGUCAGGUGUGAAAACUCUAGGCUCAACCUAGAGACGCCACCUGAUACUGCCGUGGCUAGAGUCCGGUAGGGGAGCAUGGAAUUCCUGGUGUAGCGGUGAAAUGCGCAGAUAUCGGGAAGAACACCCGUGGCGAAGGCGGUUCUCUGGGACGGUACUGACGCUGAGACGCGAAAGCGUGGGGAGCGAACAGG
Molecule: ribosomal RNA, 254 nt
Filed under: uncultured bacterium
Lineage: Bacteria
Description: partial 16S ribosomal RNA
Rfam family: Bacterial small subunit ribosomal RNA
Source: RNAcentral